AUAUCCUGGAACUCAUGAUGUUAGAUACAAGAGUCCUGAACUUGAAUGUUCCUGAAUGAGGGACACCUUUUGAAUGUGCCAGGAAAAAGGCAGCUGCUUGUGGUAUGACUGGACAGGAGAGAUUUCUAAUCUUAAUACAAUUUAUGAAUCAUGGUCAAUGCUACUCUGAGUCAAAAGACUUUACACGAGAGUUUGUGCUGCGUACAGCCUGCAUAUUCUUUACUUGAAAAAUCACUGUAUGGCAAAAACCUGACAUACUUUCUAGAUCAAAUACAGGAUUCAUAAAAGCUGGUAUUCUCUAUCAGCUUUAGAAGACACCUUCAAAAGUCAAGGAUGUGAUCUUUUACCAGUCUCUUCCUGAAGAAUGUUUCAACUAUAAAUUGUGUAAGCCUUUUAACUCUACUUGUAAUUCUGAUGGAA
Long non-coding RNA from Cyanistes caeruleus (blue tit), 420 nucleotides. RefSeq lists it as uncharacterized. NCBI's taxonomy places the organism in Eukaryota, Metazoa, Chordata, Aves, Passeriformes, Paridae. The record is from RefSeq and is a predicted model, not a curated record.